GAUGAACGCUGGCGGCGUGCCUAAUACAUGCAAGUCGAGCGAACAGACGAGGAGCUUGCUCCUCUGACGUUAGCGGCGGACGGGUGAGUAACACGUGGAUAACCUACCUAUAAGACUGGGAUAACUUCGGGAAACCGGAGCUAAUACCGGAUAAUAUAUUGAACCGCAUGGUUCAAUAGUGAAAGACGGUUUUGCUGUCACUUAUAGAUGGAUCCGCGCCGCAUUAGCUAGUUGGUAAGGUAACGGCUUACCAAGGCAACGAUGCGUAGCCGACCUGAGAGGGUGAUCGGCCACACUGGAACUGAGACACGGUCCAGACUCCUACGGGAGGCAGCAGUAGGGAAUCUUCCGCAAUGGGCGAAAGCCUGACGGAGCAACGCCGCGUGAGUGAUGAAGGUCUUCGGAUCGUAAAACUCUGUUAUUAGGGAAGAACAAAUGUGUAAGUACCUAUGCACGUCUUGACGGUACCUAAUCAGAAAGCCACGGCUAACUACGUG
RNAcentral lists this ribosomal RNA (497 nucleotides) under uncultured bacterium. RNAcentral describes it as "partial 16S ribosomal RNA". It matches the Rfam family "Bacterial small subunit ribosomal RNA", at positions 28 to 507 of the family's 1533-position model. The record is from RNAcentral.